RNAcentral lists this ribosomal RNA (1108 nucleotides) under Trachelomonas armata. RNAcentral's name for it is "partial large subunit ribosomal RNA". It matches the Rfam family "Eukaryotic large subunit ribosomal RNA", at positions 2188 to 2909 of the family's 3401-position model. The record is from RNAcentral. Lineage: Eukaryota; Euglenozoa; Euglenophyceae; Euglenales; Euglenaceae.
GAGGUGACUUCUGCCCAGUGCUCUGAUUGUCAAUGCGAAGAGAUUCAGCCAAGCGCGGGUAAACGGCGGGAGUAACUAUGACUCUCUUAAGGUAGCCAAAUGCCUCGUCAACCAAUUAUUGACGCGCAUGAAUGGAUCAACGAGAUUCCUGCUGUCCCUAGUUGCUGGCUGGUGAACCAACAGCCAAGGGAACGGGCUUGGGUGUGUCAGCGGGGAAAGAAGACCCUGUUGAGUUUGACUCUAGUUUGCUGCUGUGCAGUGACAUGAAGGGUGUAGCACAGGUGGGAGACAAGCGCCAGUGUCUCUGGCGCCAGACCAGACCGGCUCAGCAGUGGGAGGACCCCGUGUCCCCCACCUCUUGGAGGAUCACUUGGGCAAGGCUCGUUUGUUGUGUGUGCCGGAGCAAGACUUUCAGAGAGAGGAGGCACACACACAGGACUGAAAGAAGAGACUCUCAGAGACGCCAAGGGGGAGGAUUUGGGGCACCCCCCCACGGACACAAGGCAGAGCAAGGCGGCAACCACCCAUGUGGUGGUGCCGGAGGCGGUGCAAGCCAACAGUGAAAUACCACUACCUUCACAGUCACUUUACUCAUUGAGUGGCCUGGGAACAGUCGCCAUACAUGAUCAGCCCGUCCCAAGGGGGUUCCGCCCCUGGACGGAUGGGCUGUGGCCCACCACUGGCUUCAUGCGCCAAGUGGACCACCAGUGUCCCCCCUGCGGGGCCUGCGUGGCACCCUCUGUGACCCUGGACAGAGUGCAGUCCAAUCAGAAGCCUCAAGACACAGAUCAGAUUGGGAGUUUGGCUGGGGCGGCACGCCUGUUACAACACAACGCAGGUGUCCUGAAGCAGUGCUCAGAUGGAACAGAAAUCUCUCGGAGAGGAGUAGGUCACAGGUGCUGCUGACGCAGCGACUUCCAGAGUGCAAGUCCAGAACACGGAAGUGUGGCCUAUCGAUCCUUUGGUCAAGCGACAGGGUUUGGGAUACUCAAAGCCAGAGGUGUCAGAAAAAUUACCACAGGGAUAACUGGCUUGUGGCAGCCAAGAGUUCAGAUCGACGUUGCUUUUUGAUCCUUCGAUGUCGGCUCUUCCUAGCUUGCCACCUGCA